AUGAGAGAGAGAGGGAGUUAACCCCACCAUGCCCAUGUCUCUCUCGUCUCUCCCGUUCCAACCAAAUCCGGGGCUGGCGGCGGCAAACCCUAGCGCUGCGGCGGCGGCGGCGGCAGACCCUAGCGCCAUGGACUGGCCGGUGCAGGGGACGGCGAUCACGGCCGGUUGAUGACGGCGCCUCAGGUCCAUAAAGUGUUGGCUCCUCUCCAUCGACAUGACCAGCACCAAAGGUGCGUAUUCCCGUCACCUGUUGCGUUCGGUGUCUCCGUACAUUUCAGCCCCGUUCGAUGCCUCUCCUCCAGCCACACGACGUUCAUUUGCCUCUUUCUCUUCCCUGUGGACGUCACCUCCCCACGUUCUGGAUGUACCAUGAUUCUGGAUCGGGCACAAGUCGCCCCAAUAGGAGAGCAGGUCUGGUGUGGUUUCAUGGUGGGUGUUGAGGAGCAGGGGGCUGGGGAGGGAGUCGGCCAUCACUGCCUACCACUGCUCACGAGUCGUCGUGCCCCAUCCCCAACCUAGACUGCACAUCUACAGCUUCGGCAUCUCCCUCUCCCCUAUUUUUUGCCUUUUGAUUUCCCUGGUUCAUUGAUAAUGCGAUUUUAAUUUUUUGAUUUAUGUGUGUAGAUCGGAUGAAGAAUACAAGAGGAAGACUAAGAACAAGGUGAGCUCUCUCUCCCCCUAAUCUGCCUAGAUUGCAAGUAUACAUGUGCAUACUUAAUUACUAUUUAGCUGUUCUAUUGCGUUCUUAGUUCUUUCUUUUUUCAGCCAUGCAUUUCUUCUGUCUAUAAGAGUACACCAUUCUUCGUUUGAUCACUCUUGGAUGAUUCCUUUUGUUUGAGGAACUCAAAUUUUCAGUAGCAAGCAUGCAGUUUGGCCAAUGAUGCAGGGUGAUCUGGUUGUUCUGUUGGAGCUGAAAGUUUGGACGGGUACUGAAUAGUGUGAAUUACAUCUGUAAAUAACAACAUGAGGAUCAGGGAUGCAAGCGGCUGGAUUCCAAAACUGCACCCCCCCCCCCCCCCCCCUAUGUUUUGCUCGAUAAAUCAAGUUUUUUUUUUUGCAAUGUUCAAUGGCCUGAAUGUACGAAAUGAGACAAUUCACACCCUUGAUUUCAUAGCAGGUCUCAUGGUUCAGUAGCAAGUAUCAUUAAUCUAACUACCUCCUCCAAAAUGUCAUUUUUCAAUUGAUUUUAGUUCCCUUUUGUAUUCAGUUUUUAAAUUGGUUUCAACUGUCUUUUGGCACUCAAAUGUGAUUAAGUGCAGUAACAUGUAGCAUUUAGUUUAUUUGGUUGACAGUUUAUAACCUCAGCAAGGAGCACGUGACAUUGACGCCAUCACUGAGCUCAAGAUGGUGCCUUGCAAUGAUCAUUGCACUUCUCUUCCAUACAUCAGUGCCACUUCCAAAGCGGAGUGCCUCCUAGAGGAUAGUCUCUAUUAUCAGAAGGGUGAAGCAGCACAGAAGACAAAGAAGGCAUAUUGUGCGAGAGUGGCGAUGGCAUGGACGAGCUUGCCUGCUCCCAGUUCGGGUACCAAUGGGACAGCGACACGUUCUAGCUUGCACUGAAUGUGAUCGUAUAGAGACACGAUGGAUAUGCCCAAUCCUACAGUGGCGUAUGGAGCCGGCUUCGUGUGAGAUGACAGUGGGUUAGCGGUCCAUCAUGCACGUGUUCCGUUGGUACAAAUCUCUUCUCGCGGUACACAACGACUACCAUCAGUUGCGGCCCGGCGCGCAAACGUCGUCUUCCUAAUAAACAGAUAAGGGUGCACAACAUUGUGGAUCCAACCUUGCCGGCGACGCUGAGAAAAAAAGGCAAAUCUAUCCAUUCGGGCACCGCACGAGGCGAGAAGCUAGGAGCUAUGGUGAUGGCGGCGGCGGGAGGCGGGAGGCGGGAGGCGACGGAUUCGAGUUCCUAGCAGAUCCGGUUCACAGGGCAGUACAAAGUAGAGGAGGUCUGUAAAGGGAAAAUCUAUUUCGUGCGAUGAUACCAUCCAGAGAAACAUGAAAAGUGGUGCGGGAUGUGUACAAAGUGGAAGUUGUUGAGGAAGGGAGGGAACUGAUAUGUGAGUGUGCUAAUUUCGAGCACACAUUCUUGCUCUGCUGCCAUGCAGUUAAGGUCCUUGAUUUCGUCGGCAUAUACCAGAUACCAGCAAAACAUAUUCUGAAACGUUGGACAAAGGAUGCAAGAGAUGUAUUGUCAACCCACUUAUCACACCUUCAGAAGGAUAGCAUUUCAGUGAAUUCAAUAACCUUUAGGCACUCAAAUCUUCACACACAUGCACUCGAAGUGGUGAGGCUGGAGAUGCAAAUACAGAGGCCUAUGACUAUGAGUGUGCAAUGGACAUCUUGAAGAUAGCAAUGGAUAAACUGACACCAAUAGCCGCCAUGCGAGAUGGAAUGUGAUUGCAUUGGAAGACAAAAUUCAGCCAAACAAGAGAUGUCUACACCUGAUUCAGGCGGGGGCUCUGUUAGCCAUGUGUCUUCCAGCUCUAGCUCGAGUGCCCUUGCAGUCAGCGAUGAGCAUGACCGGCAUCUUCAGUUCUUGCCAUCUGAUGAUCAUGUCGCUGGCGGCAGUGCUCCAGGGCAUGCGGCUUUCGUGCAGGUCGGUGAUUGAGGAUACCGUGUACGGGAGGGCUGAUGGUGUAUCGAUGGAAGAUGAAGGUUGCGAAGAUGAGUCACAAGUCCAGUCCCGUUCUUCAACCGUGGAAGAGGUGGGUACCUAUGAUCCAGAAAAUCAGAGCUACGCCGGCGGUGAUAACCAGGGGCGAACCCACGUUAUGGUGAGUGGGGGCCUAGGCACCCACUGAAAAUAUGAAAUUUCGGUAUUAUUCAUGUGUCAAUUUUGUAAUUUGAGUAGGCUGAAACUAAUGGUUUCAGAUGGUCUGCGUAUUAACUUUGAUCAGAACCUGUAUCUAAAGAAACUGAGUAGAGGGUCGCCUUUUAUGAUGGAAUUUGCAGCAGGUGUGAUCCCUUGCUCGUGCUCUCUGCUUGUCCUCAUGCUAGACCUACCCUUUGCUUGUCGCCCUACAUUUUAUUCAGAGCGGUGUCAGGACUCAUCUCCGGCGCCUACAUGGCGGGCAGAGGGCCUAAGCUCUAGAUGAGCUCCUCUUCACCCUGCAAGUGUUGUGUUACUCUGCUAUUUUUAUUAUCUCAACAUUUCUAAUUUUAUGAGUCCGAGAUUACUUGAAUGAUUCGUGGGAAUUGGAAUGUGGGGAUAAGAAUUUUUCUAAAGAAAAACCCAGUAUCAACAUGUUAUAUCGAGGGCCUUGAAAGCUAAUGGUGUCGCAAGAUGUCUUUUUUUCACCUUUUCAUUUUUGUUGGGAGAAAGGCGAUGCUCUUUCUUGGUCAAAAGGAUGGUAAUCUCUCAUAGAUACUUUGUUAUGUCUUAUACAAUAAUAUGCUGACAAAUCACAUGUUGAAUAACCUUUAUCCUCAUCUGUAGUACUUUAGGACACACUUUUCUAAGAACAGCCUCUUCCCACACAUGGAUGCUGAUCAUGGUGAGCUGCCAAUAAGCACUGGAGACGGAACUACCAGUGUCACGUCCCGUUUUAUAAAGGGUGUUGACAACAGGGCUACUAUCACUAAAAACUGGAGCAGCUUUUUCGUAAGGCAAAGAUGAAGAAAGGCCAUGCCUAUGCCUUCGCCUUCAAGUGCACAUCAAAGGGGUUGCACAUGAUUGUCUAUCCUAUCCUAUAUAAGCAGAUCGCAAAAGCCCUUUGCUUUAUAACUCAAUAUUAGUAUAAGUACCUACCAAGACUUCUAUAUUUAGCAUCCUUUUGGAUCGUAUGUAAGCCACCUAAGAUCAUCCUGUAUCGUAUGACUAUUGGUUGUUUGCUGGUAAGACCAUCAUGAAGUGUGCUUUUGGGGCAGCAGUGCAGAAAGAAAUAUCUUCCUGUAUCUGUUGGAUGUUUUUCCCUCUGUUACAGAUCAGCACUAGGUUCUCUUAAAACACUAUUUAUCAGCACUAAGUUUCUAUUUGCUUA
Non-coding RNA from Aegilops tauschii subsp. strangulata, 3980 nucleotides. The record is from RefSeq and is a predicted model, not a curated record. NCBI's taxonomy places the organism in Eukaryota, Viridiplantae, Streptophyta, Magnoliopsida, Poales, Poaceae.